Molecule: long non-coding RNA, 6462 nt
Organism: Varroa destructor (honeybee mite)
Lineage: Eukaryota; Metazoa; Arthropoda; Arachnida; Mesostigmata; Varroidae
Source: RefSeq, a predicted model, not a curated record
UUUCAAACAACUAGUAAAAGAUAUCUUGCCUCUAUGUUUUUGUUUCAGGUUAGAUAGGUCCUGUUUAAUUAUUAGUUCGAGCGGCGAUAUGCCGCUUAUAGUAGUUGUGUCUGUUCAAGUGAAACUCGGUUAUUGGAUGGCAUAAAUUCGCUGACGAUGCGAUAGAACUGCGUGCUUAUUUUAAAUAAUCACUAUAUGCUUUUCUCAGAAUCCCAGAGCAUAUUGGUAAAAUAGGCCGUAUAUUUGGCAUGACUGUUUAUUUUCUACAGUUGGUUGAAUAAAAUUAAAAAUCAUUUGCUUUCUUUUCCAGUAGCAUUUGGAACGCUCUUUUUACACCAUAUGGCAGCAAUCGAAAGCUUUUUGACCGAUUGCGCCUAUAUUAACAAACUCUCGCAACUAUUUUUCGUUAGUAUACCAUGGUUCGUACCUAUGUUUUCGACGAGAGUAGAAGCUUUUUAAGGCUGAUACCUGACCUCGUUACGCUGACGAAACUGCAAAAGCUUUUAGGAAAAUUCCCAUUCAGUUCAGCCUCGGCAGGUGACGUCACACCUUCCAUUGCCAGACGAACGACAUUUUUUCUAACUGCUCAGACAAUAUAGCUGCGAUGACAUUUACUCAGAUGAAUAGUAACUCUCUAAGCGUUGCAUGCGUCAUCGAAAAAUUAUCCAUAUAGCGGUAAGCCUAUAUUACAUGAGCGUAUGCCGUAUCAUGUCUGGGCGGAAAAACUAUCCUAUCAAAUGUUGCCGCACUUGCCCUAACAGGACUGCGGCCAUGUUCGAUACUGUUCGAGUGGUUUCUAUAAUCGCUGGAAGGGCGCCAUCUUGGAUUCUUUCAUAGUCACACCACUAUGGGGGCGACUGCGUAGUUGGUGGAAAGGAGGUGGCGCGGCUGUCGCUCAUAUAGGGCUUAGCAUUAGCCUGUUUAGUCAUUGCUUCGGUGGCAAUUGAUGAAGAUGUGUGGUGCUUGUAAGAUAGAUGAAGCGACAUGCAACCAAUAGUGUUAAGAUGAGCAUGUUUUGUGUCUACUAGUUUACCAGCUAUUCAUCGAUGAUCAAGGUAUUCGUAGGUAGUAUGGAAUGAAGAUGGUCAUCCACCAACAAUCCCAAUAUGUUUUACCGGAUGGAAUGUAGUAUUGCGUCGAGUCGGCGGAAACACGCUGUCCGGUUACGUCUUUUACGUCGCUAUUUCAUAGAAAUAUUAAACGGUUUGAUGGAUCUGCGAAUUCGUCCAAAAGUCGUUAAGCUGUGAGCAAAACGUAAUUAAAGCACAACGUAACUAGUCGCACUUAUUUACUCGAUUACGUCUAAUGUUGUAGUGGGCAGUAUCGCCUAUUGUAAUAUUAUAUGUACACGUAUAGAUGAUAUAUAUUAUUGGCAAUAUUUGCGUGAUAUGUGAAUGCCUCCAGUUUGUUUGCCAGUGUACCGAUAUAGAUAGGGAAUAUAUACAGUGCUGCGUACUCGUAUCUUUCUUUGUUCAUUUAAUUUCCCUCCCGGCCAUUCGUAUGGCUGACGGGAAUAUCACCAAUGGUUUCUCGUUUGUGGAAUCAACCUUGUGUGCAUCCUGAACAUAUUUGAUCAUCUAUACAUAUCUUCAUUAAGCAGUACGUAAAAGGUUUAGCGAUGUUCGUGAAUAUUACAGACCUCGUUAGGCUUAGUAAGAUAUCUGCCAUCAUUGUUCGCUCCAUCGAAGUUUAGUCAUGGUGUUUCACAGCAUAGCAACAGCCGUAUAGGCUUACCGAGUCAACCAAGAAGUGACGUCAUCCAUAUCGUCACCGAACGGAACGAUCUUAAGAAGGCUGGGACGUUUUGGUAAGCUGAUAUGGACGAACCAGCAAGCGAGCUAUAGGUACCCAGACCGUGAGACAGGGUGUACUCCCAGACAACCUAGAUUCUUCCACUUAUUCCAGCCUAAGCAAAUACGAUUGUGUGACAUCAUUGGUUUUGGUAAGUCCGAGCUAACCUUCGCCCAAAGAUGGUCGGACGUGUUCGUUCAGACGAAUAGUAUCAUCAAUAUGGUUUUUAUGUAUAUAUAAUUCAGAUAGCAGUUGUGUUUAUUAGUAAUCAACGUAUUCUAUGCCACUGAACUCUCUAGCUACAAUUUGUACACUAUAAUUUUUCGAAUUAGUGAUUGAUUUCGAGCUGUUCUGAAGAACGUGCUUCAAAAAUUGGCCGUCUUUAUAGUGCUCACCAUAACCGCGUGUGGCUUCGGCCAACAUCGCUGUCGCUCCCACAGGCCUGCGUUCUUUCUGGUUUCUUUUUGUGUCGGUGUGUAUCGAUCUAUGUCUGCCUAUAUGCUGAUUUUUGUCGCCUUAGCCGCUAUCACAUAGCGAGGAAGCGGGUGGGUGGUUCAGCGAUUGACCUCGGAUCGUGCGUGUUCGUGCCGCCUACCAGCUAGCGUCUCAGCAGUCUAUCGCACGACGUUUCCUAUAGAAGAUCCAACGAAUCCGAUCUAAUUGGGCUCGUCGGAGAGGCCGAUGCUGAUAAAUGUAAUAGUUGCGCAGUGUAGUUCUACCAAUGAAGCAAAACGUCAUCAGGUUGUUCACGGGCCGACGCGGGUCUACCUGCAUUAUAUCACUACAACUACCACGGUUUUAACUAUCCUGAAAAUCUGCAACCAUUGCUGUUCACCCGUUCAGCUCUACAUGCUUCAAUCUACAAGCUGCGUUUAGCAUUUCUAGUGUUUUUGAGCUACGCCUUUCGUUUUUUUUUUUUUUUUUUAUCAGUGUUAGCACAGUGCUUUACGUAAUUAGUGCCCGAUGCGCAAUUCGUGCGGCUCCUGCUAUUGAGCGGACCCGUUCCUGGAGGCUGCCAGCCAAUUCCACAUUGUGUCGAUUUCGAUGACUCAUCUGCUAUUCAUUGGACCUUGUGAUGCUGCGAACCUUCGCGAAUCUUUCGUCGGCGAUUAUGAUAGUGACGCAGUGGUUUCGUCGGCUACAACAGCGUUGUCUGCAGUCACUUCGUCAUCGGUAAUAUGGGUAGUCGGGUUGGAGCUGCAAGGUGUCGUUGUUCGGUAACGUCCGCGAAGGGUCAGCAGCAGGCAGGUUGUCUACGCAAUUUCUCAGUCGGUAAAGUCAACUAGAUGGUAUUUGGCACGGAAUUAUCUUUUAGCGAUGCAGCAGAUAGGCGGCCGACGCUUUGUGCCAGUUUUGCUUGAAUUAUUGCCUGCUGUUCAUGCUGCUAUUUUCGUUUGGACCAGCUCACCAGCAGUCUACUGCGCAUUUCACGGACGAACACAUCUAGCGGCGUUGAACACCACCAGGAGCGGCAAGGCAUCCGAUACCGUAUGGCCGGCGUUUCUCCCGAUAAUGCGGCGUGAACAGACAAACAAGCAGAUUCUACAGGCGAUGGGUCCGUUCGUACAACUGAUACUAGAAGGAAAUCUAUUGCACACAAAUUCACCGUACCGCGGAGUUUGUCGCUAAGAGUAGACAGAAAAUUCACUGAGCGAUUACGGGUGAUUUUAUCUAGCUUUUUUACAAAUCUGAUUUGUAUAUGUAUACUUUUAUUUACUACAUGCCUUGUCCAUCUCGUACGGAAGUACUACUCGUAAUGAAGAUAUUUUAGUUCAUAAGUUGAAAAACGGCACCAUGAUACUUUAGGUAGACCAACAGUUCAGUUAGUUCGUUGUAGGUUGGCACCACAUGAAAGGUUACAGCACGCCGAUAGUCGAUUCGAGAAAACAUCUGACCCUGUUGGAGAUCUGCGCACUUGGAUGUGAAGACAAUGGUUCAUCCUGACGCCUUCUCCAGUUUCCAUAACGCUUUCUCAAAUUUCCGUGUUUUGUGUGGCAGAUGUGGUUAUUGGAUUGUUUGCGGUUUGCCGAUCGCUUGUCCAUUCACAGAGCUCGACAGCCUCAAAUAAUGGGAGUCAACUUGAUGAAGUCACCUAUGAAACGGAAAAAAUUCGCAUUAUUAGCGGCCGUGAACAGUAGGGUAUCCAUGGUUACAGCUCAGCGGCUGUGGGCAGUGAGGUAUCCGUGGUCACGGCUUGAUAAAUGGAAACAUCGAUGGCUCUUGCUACAAUCAGUGUUUGCUCAUCAGGGGGUCGAUUUGGCGCAGUUAGCUGAAAACCAGGAAAGUGGUAAUGACCAACGGCGAGCGUUAUUCAUCCUCGUAUUAUAUUAGGUAUUUGUACUCAAUUCUGCUGAUGAGACGAAAGACAUUAUUCGCCAGUGGCAAGCGGAUGGUAUACAAACUGUGAUAUUUCAAUGAUUUGAUAACGUGCAUCUAAAAAGACGUUAAAAAGUAGCAGAAUCAAUAGAUAGAACACAACCCUCCCGAGUUUUGCGAUCUGUUCCUAGGCGGUUACUUAAAGAAGCUAGUAAGCGUUAACUACUUGCUUAAAAAGCAAAUCAACACAUCAUUCUCUUCAAAGUCGAAUUUUUGGCGUACAUCAUCAUCCACUGUUAUUCUUCCUUCGUCGCUCAUAGAAAGCGGUCGUAAAAUGCUGAUAGCAUCACUUCAAGAAAUUCUUGAAGAGACUCCAGAAUGUAUUAGCAGCCAGCGGAUGGUGGCAGCACAUCAACGAUGAGAUCUGUAUUAAUAUUAACUCAAACGUAAAGCCAGAAUUGAAGGACUUCUUCGUAACUUGGAUUUGUCACUUCUCGACAAGUCAGAAGUGAAUCGUUCUCCACAUAUGAUCCCUAACUCGGACACCGGCUGCUGUGAGACAAGAAAUGUUGUCAGGCAAGAAAUUUCGUUUUAGCUUGAUUUUGAACAAGACAAUAUGAUCAAUACGAAACAAUAUUAUUAAAAAGAUCUAGAUGCCCUAGGUAGACGACACUCGCACUCUUUUCUCCUUCAGGCGACUAGCCAGUCGUUGAAGUUUUGCGCAACCUGGUUGAUUUUGUUAAUAACGCAGUCAUUCGUGGCGAAAAAGGAACGCGUUACCGCGUCGCGUAUACCAACGUCUCAAUGAAUGAACAAAAUAUUCGGAACGCUUUGAAUGGGUUCGAGAUGGAUGUCCCCACAUUGCGCGAGCUGAAGCUACUGCCGCGGGCCGCUACAUGUUGUGCGCGAGCGUCUGGGUAGCAGGUUCCGUUUUGUCUUCAUGCCUGAGUUUUCUGGUGCGUUGGAUAAAUGAUAUCUUCAACGGGUGUCAAAGGUUGCCUCGGAUCAAAAAUAGACUGUCUCAAUCGGCGUUAUAUGAAAAAUGGUGAAAUCGGUAACGGGCUACGAAAACAUAAUAUCUUUGUUUGUGCUGUGUUGUUGUUUUUUGCUAGCGACCAUGUAGAGCUGUGCAGUAGAUUUAGUUGUAUUCACAGAUCCACUCGUAGUAAAACGAGUGAGCUGCGUGUUUCGAGUGGCUCCGGAUCUAUCCAGGAUCGACGGCGUUCUUUGAUAUCGCGACCGCUUCUCAUUACGCCUAAACGUGCGAAGACCAGCGGUCGAGUUGUGUAUGUGUUGGUGUUUUUGUGUUAUGUUUUAGUGUGGAGGCGCGGAAGAAAAGUCGUGUUGUUUGGUUGAUAGUUUCUCAGUGCAGAAGUUUAUGUGAACUCGGAAGAUAAGAAUGGAAACCUAGGUUUCUAUCAUUUCUGGUCCAGAUUUCACUCUCUGGAUAAACUUCAUCUUCCAGACCCCACUCAACAAGCAUUUCUAAAACAAUCCACGUGGUGUAUCCAUCGUUAAUUCAUCUAUAAACAUCUAUGAAGUCAAAUGAUCAACAAACACUUCCAAAAUAAUCCACGUGUAAUACCCAUCGUUAUUUCAUCUAUAAACAUCUAUGCUCGACAAACAAAAAAUGCCCGACUCACAUAUCGAUGAUUUCGAAUACUUCCUUCAUCGACAUUACUAUACAGGCCCACAGUUCGCCCGCCUCUACUAAAUUUCUUUACAGGAAAAUUCCACGAGAAAAAGAACAACAUUAGGUACCAUUCCGUGAGCUAUAAGAUAGCAAACGAAACGAAUUUGCUCUUCCACUACAGGACUUUCCCAACCACCCAGAUCGGCUCGAACAUUUGCGCCAUAGAAUGACUGUUGGAGUUGCAGACGGUCACAUGGUGACACAAUUUUGGCUUCGCUGAUAUUUUGGGUGAUUUGCUGUCUCAACCUUGCGUGGACUCGUAUCUGCUAAGCUAAAUGAUGGUGUAUUUUGAAUGUUGAGGUUGCGUGAAGAAUUCAAAAAGCCCGCUAUUGGGUACAACCGAUCACUAUUUUGCACUUCAGAUGGCGAUUCACAUCAACAUACACACGAUACACAAUGAGGACGAACGGUUCCAGUUACUCCAUGGAUGAUCGCAAGGAUACUCACAACUAUAUCGAACUAGAGGAACGCGAUGUUCGUAGAAACGCGAUGUUCGUAGAAACGCGAUGUUCGUAGAAACACGAUGUUCGUAGAAACACGAUGUUCGUAGAAACACGAUGUUCGUAGAAACACGAUGUUCGUAGAAACGCGAUGUUCGUAGAAACGCGAUGUUCGUAGAAACGCGAUGUUCGUAAAAACGCGAUGUUCGUAAAAACGCGAUG